AGAUGUGAGGGCGAUCAGGCUGCGACAUCUGUCACCCCACUGAUUGCCAGGGUUGAUUCAGCUGAUCUGCCUGGCUAGGCAGGUGUCCCCUUCCUCCCUCAACGAUCCAUGUGUGUCCCUCCUGAAGCUGCGCACUCAACCACCACCACCACCCCACCACCCUCACCUCCCCCCCAUAGAGGAGGAUUGAUCCUCCGUCAAGGGUAUAGGAGUAGCUGCGCUCCCCUGCUAGAACCUCCAAACAAGCUCUCAAGAAAAGACUACUUGCCAACUGGGCUUGUUCUUAUAGGGCUGGUCUCAGGCAGCCUGCUGGCCUUCAGGAAAAUUCUCUUCUAAGA
RNAcentral lists this small RNA (338 nucleotides) under Octodon degus (degu). Its description in RNAcentral is "7SK RNA (ENSODEG00000024083.1)". It matches the Rfam family "7SK RNA", at positions 1 to 254 of the family's 331-position model. Rfam says of the family: 7SK was discovered as an abundant small nuclear RNA in the mid-70s but a possible function has only recently been suggested. Two independent studies have found that 7SK RNA binds the CDK9/cyclin T complex (known as elongation factor P-TEFb). Lineage: Eukaryota; Metazoa; Chordata; Mammalia; Rodentia; Octodontidae. The record is from RNAcentral.